UGGGUGACGAGUGGCGGACGGGUGAGUAAUGUCUGGGAAACUGCCCGAUGGAGGGGGAUAACUACUGGAAACGGUAGCUAAUACCGCAUAACGUCGCAAGACCAAAGAGGGGGACCUUCGGGCCUCUUGCCAUCGGAUGUGCCCAGAUGGGAUUAGCUAGUAGGUGGGGUAACGGCUCACCUAGGCGACGAUCCCUAGCUGGUCUGAGAGGAUGACCAGCCACACUGGAACUGAGACACGGUCCAGACUCCUACGGGAGGCAGCAGUGGGGAAUAUUGCACAAUGGGCGCAAGCCUGAUGCAGCCAUGCCGCGUGUAUGAAGAAGGCCUUCGGGUUGUAAAGUACUUUCAGCGAGGAGGAAGGCGUUAAGGUUAAUAACCKYAKUSAUUGACGUUACUCGCAGAAGAAGC
Molecule: ribosomal RNA, 410 nt
Filed under: Citrobacter freundii
Lineage: Bacteria; Pseudomonadati; Pseudomonadota; Gammaproteobacteria; Enterobacterales; Enterobacteriaceae
Description: bacterial SSU rRNA
Rfam family: Bacterial small subunit ribosomal RNA
Source: RNAcentral